RNAcentral lists this ribosomal RNA (497 nucleotides) under uncultured bacterium. Its description in RNAcentral is "partial 16S ribosomal RNA". It matches the Rfam family "Bacterial small subunit ribosomal RNA", at positions 28 to 507 of the family's 1533-position model. The record is from RNAcentral.
GAUGAACGCUGGCGGCGUGCCUAAUACAUGCAAGUCGAGCGAACAGACGAGGAGCUUGCUCCUCUGACGUUAGCGGCGGACGGGUGAGUAACACGUGGAUAACCUACCUAUAAGACUGGGAUAACUUCGGGAAACCGGAGCUAAUACCGGAUAAUAUAUUGAACCGCAUGGUUCAAUAGUGAAAGACGGUGUUGCUGUAACUUAUAGAUGGAUCCGCGCCGCAUUAGCUAGUUGUUAAGGUACCGGCUUACCAAGGCAACGAUGCGUAGCCGACAUGAGAGGGUGAUCGGCCACACUGGAACUGAGACACGGUCCAGACGCCUACGGGAGGCAGCAGUAGGGAAUCUUCCGCAAGGGGCGAGAGCCUGACGGAGCAACGCCGCGUGAGUGAUGAAGGUCUUCGGAUCGUAAAACUCUGUUAUUAGGGAAGAACAAAUGUGUAAGUAACUAUGCGCGUCUUGACGGUACCUGAGCAGAAAGCCACGGCUAACUACGUG